This 292-nucleotide ribosomal RNA is filed under the name uncultured bacterium. Its description in RNAcentral is "partial 16S ribosomal RNA". It matches the Rfam family "Bacterial small subunit ribosomal RNA", at positions 505 to 796 of the family's 1533-position model. The record is from RNAcentral.
GUGUCAGCAGCCGCGGUAAGACAGAGGGUGCAAACGUUGUUCGGAAUUACUGGGCGUAAAGCGCGUGUAGGCGGCAAGGCAAGUCGGGUGUGAAAGCCCUGGGCUCAACCCAGGAAGUGCAUUCGAUACUGCCCAGCUAGAGUCCCGGAGAGGAUGGUGGAACUCUCGGUGUAGAGGUGAAAUUCGUAGAUAUCGAGAAGAACACCGGUGGCGAAGGCGGCCAUCUGGACGGUGACUGACGCUGAGACGCGAAAGCGUGGGGAGCAAACAGGAUUAGAUACCCGCGUAGUCC